ACGGAGGAUGCAAGCGUUAUCCGGAAUGAUUGGGCGUAAAGGGUCCGCAGGUGGCAUUGUAAGUCUGCUGUUAAAGAGUCUGGCUCAACCAGAUAAAAGCAGUGGAAACUACAAAGCUAGAGUAUGGUCGGGGCAGAGGGAAUUCCUGGUGUAGCGGUGAAAUGCGUAGAUAUCAGGAAGAACACCGGUGGCGAAGGCGCUCUGCUAGUCCAAAACUGACACUGAGGGACGAAAGCUAGGGGAGCGAAUGGGAUUAGAUACCCCAGUAGUCCUAGCCGUAAACGAUGGAUACUAGGCGUAGCUCGUAUCGACCCGAGCUGUGCCGUAGCUAACGCGUUAAGUAUCCCGCCUGGGGAGUACGCAGGCAACUGUG
RNAcentral lists this ribosomal RNA (373 nucleotides) under uncultured bacterium. Its description in RNAcentral is "bacterial SSU rRNA". It matches the Rfam family "Bacterial small subunit ribosomal RNA", at positions 525 to 896 of the family's 1533-position model. The record is from RNAcentral.